AUGCACGCUUGCGGCGUGCCUAAUACCUGCAAGUCGAGCGAACAGACGAGGAGCUUGCUCCUCUGACGUUAGCGGCGGACGGGUGAGUAACACGUGGAUAACCUACCUAUAAGACUGGGAUAACUUCGGGAAACCGGAGCUAAUACCGGAUAAUAUAUUGAACCGCAUGGUUCAAUAGUGAAAGACGGUUUUGCUGUCACUUAUAGAUGGAUCCGCGCCGCAUUAGCUAGUUGGUAAGGUAACGGCUUACCAAGGCAACGAUGCGUAGCCGACCUGAGAGGGUGAUCGGCCACACUGGAACUGAGACACGGUCCAGACUCCUACGGGAGGCAGCAGUAGGGAAUCUUCCGCAAUGGGCGAAAGCUUGACGGAGCAACGCCGCGUGAGUGAUGAAGGUCUUCGGAUCGUAAAACUCUGUUAUUAGGGAAGAACAAAUGUGUAAGUAACUAUGCACGUCUUGACGGUACCUAAUCAGAAAGCCACGGCUAACUACGUG
Molecule: ribosomal RNA, 496 nt
Filed under: uncultured bacterium
Lineage: Bacteria
Description: partial 16S ribosomal RNA
Rfam family: Bacterial small subunit ribosomal RNA
Source: RNAcentral